GACGAACGCUGGCGGCGUGCUUAACACAUGCAAGUCGAACGGAAAGGCCCUGCUUUUGUGGGGUGCUCGAGUGGCGAACGGGUGAGUAACACGUGAGUAACCUGCCCUUGACUUUGGGAUAACUUCAGGAAACUGGGGCUAAUACCGGAUAGGAGCUCCUGCUGCAUGGUGGGGGUUGGAAAGUUUCGGCGGUUGGGGAUGGACUCGCGGCUUAUCAGCUUGUUGGUGGGGUAGUGGCUUACCAAGGCUUUGACGGGUAGCCGGCCUGAGAGGGUGACCGGCCACAUUGGGACUGAGAUACGGCCCAGCCUCCUACGGGAGGCAGCAGUGGGGAAUAGUGCACAAUGGGCGGAAGCCUGAUGCAGCAAAGCCGCGUGCGGGAUGACGGCCUUCGGGUUGUAAACCGCUUUCGCCUGUGACGAAGCGUGAGUGACGGUAAUGGGUAAAGAAGCACCGGCUAACUACGUG
This 468-nucleotide ribosomal RNA is filed under the name uncultured bacterium. Its description in RNAcentral is "partial 16S ribosomal RNA". It matches the Rfam family "Bacterial small subunit ribosomal RNA", at positions 28 to 507 of the family's 1533-position model. The record is from RNAcentral.